UACGUAGGGGGCAAGCGUUGUUCGGAAUCACUGGGCGUAAAGCGCACGUAGGCGGAUUUGCCAGUCAGGGGUGAAAUCCCGGGGCUCAACCUCGGAACUGCCUUUGAUACAGCAAGUCUUGAGUUCGAGAGAGGUGGGUGGAAUUCCUAGUGUAGAGGUGAAAUUCGUAGAUAUUAGGAAGAACACCGGUGGCGAAGGCGGCCCACUGGCUCGACACUGACGCUGAGGUGCGAAAGCGUGGGUAGCAAACAGG
Molecule: ribosomal RNA, 253 nt
Filed under: uncultured bacterium
Lineage: Bacteria
Description: partial 16S ribosomal RNA
Rfam family: Bacterial small subunit ribosomal RNA
Source: RNAcentral